CAUGGCUGUUCUUAAGGCUGACAACAUAACUGAGACUGAUGUGUGCUUGCUAAAGCGAAGUAGCUAAAAUAGUUAGCAGUAGCUCCUAGGGGAACUUAAAAGCCCUGUUAUCUCCUGGGUUUGGUAUGCAGACUACCCCCAGCCCAUAAAGAAAGAAACGAUAGUACUUUAUUAAAAUACUAAAUUUUAUUUUUUUUUCCACGUACAUUUAGUCUUCCCACCACUUCCAUUUGUCUGACCACCACCACCACACCACCAUGCCUUAUCAAAACAUUCCAUACAUACUUAAAAUGAAGCUGAGGGUGGAGUCCCAUCUUUAAAAACUAAACAGGCAUUUUGGACAACACAUUCUUGGCAAGGUAAUCUGGAUGACAUUUAUCAGACACUGUAGGGAAAGCUCUUUCAGCAUUUGUAAAAAGAACAGCCAAAUAAUGGUUACAGAAGUAAGACUGCAGACUUUAACAAACUGUUUAAAUUGUUCUCUUACAGAGUCUGUCUCCACUGCCAGAGAGCUUGAAUGACCUUUUGGUCCUCCGUCCUGAAGCAAUUCUUAACAUAGUUGGCAAAUUUGGGCUCCAGCUUAGGAAGGGAACAACCCUUGUCUACGGAGGCCUGCAUUUUUGCUUUGAUCUCCUCUAACGACAGAGGAACUUUCGGUGUUUUUGGAGUUAGAGAUUUGUCCUUCUUGGAAUCUGGAGUUUUUGUUUUAGAUGCUGGUGUGGACGGCUUUGAGUCUUUUCCAUUUUGCUUUGCUUUCUGCAUAUUUUUUCCUGCAGGCUCGCGGGCAGGUUUCUUCAUUGGUGUUUUAAUCUCCUCCUCAUCAUCAUCCAAGUCGUCUUCAUCAUCCUCAUCAUCAUCCUCAUCUUCAUCAUCGUCCUCAUCAUCUUCUGAUAAUUUUGGUUUUUUCUGUGGUGUUUUAGCUCCUCCUCCACUUGCUGGUCUCUUUGUUGAAGCAUUCCCUAUUUUUGUAUCCUCCUCCUCAUCCUCUGAUUCUGGCUCUUCCUCUAAUGCUACAAGAUGCUGACCACUGACAUAAACAGGCCCCGAACCACAUUUUAACCUCAGGACAACUGGUGGUGUGAUCUCAAAUCCACCUAGUGAAACUGUAGGCUGCACAGACAUUUUCAGAGAUGCCAGUACUACUUUAGUUGGGUUGCCUUCGUAGUCCAGUGCUUCUGCUUCUACAACAUGUAAUUCGUCUUUGGCUCCAGCCCCUAAUGUAACCGUUCUCAAGGACAGCUGAUGCUCGUUUUCCUCAUCAUCUACUUUGAACUGAUAUUCCUUCUCUGCUUUAAGCUCGCAGCCGAAGAGGAAGGUCUGCGGGCGCAGCGGGCCCAUGCUCUCCAUGUCCAUGGCGCUGUCCUCCAUCUUCUCGGCCUGCUCGCGCGGGAGGAGCUGUACGGGAUGCGGCGCUGCGGACGGACGCGCACUAAAG
This 1435-nucleotide long non-coding RNA is filed under the name Gallus gallus (chicken). Lineage: Eukaryota; Metazoa; Chordata; Aves; Galliformes; Phasianidae. The record is from RNAcentral.